ACGGAGGGGACUAGCGUUGUUCGGAAUUACUGGGCGUAAAGCGCACGUAGGCGGAUUUGUAAGUUAGGUGUGAAAUCCCUCGGCUCAACCGAGGAACUGCGCUUAAAACUGUGGGACUCGAGGGAGAUAGAGGAAAGCGGAACUGAUGGUGGAGCGGUGAAAUGCGUUGAUAUCAUCAGGAACACCGGUGGCGAAGGCGGCUUUCUGGGUCUUACCUGACGCUGAGGAACGAAAGCCAGGGGAGCAAACGGGA
This 253-nucleotide ribosomal RNA is filed under the name uncultured prokaryote. RNAcentral describes it as "partial 16S ribosomal RNA". It matches the Rfam family "Bacterial small subunit ribosomal RNA", at positions 525 to 777 of the family's 1533-position model. The record is from RNAcentral.